CCGUGAGUCUGAACUUAUCCAGGAGAACUACCUUGGUACGUUACAGAAAAUCUUGCAAACUGAAAUUGUUUGCUUCCGUUUCUCAUUUUCUCUCUGUAAUAAUGACUUAACCUUUUGUUCUUCAGGUACGAGAAAUGCAGCACAGAGGAAGCUCCUGGAUGAGCUGGGCAUCCCAGCUCAAGAUGCCCCGGUUGACCAAUUCACCCCUGUUGGUCGGAUGCUCUACAAGGCUCCAUCUGAUGGAAAAUGGGGCGAGCAUGAGCGUAAGUUGGUUUCACAGCCUUGGUUCGUCAUAUUCAUGUUCAUUAAAAGCCAGUUAAAUCAUUAGAAUGCUCCGUACAAGCAAAUCAUUGUUGCUGGAAGGUGUUUCACCAGAACCACUCAGUUGCUAACGCCGGUUUCCUUUCUCCUCACCCGCAGUUGACUCCAUCCUGAUCAUGGUCCGGGACGUGAAGCUGCAGCCGAACCCAGAUGAGGUCGCGGACGUGAAGUAUGUGAACCGCGAGCAGCUGAAGGAGCUGAUCCAGAAGGCGGACGCCGGCGAGGACGGCAUGAAGCUCUCCCCCUGGUUCCGGCUGAUCGUCGACAACUUCCUGAUGCGCUGGUGGGAUCAUGUGGAGAAGGGCACCCUCAGCGAGGUCGUGGACAUGGAGACCAUCCACAAGCUGAAGGAUUGAGGGGCCACUGCCAGACGUGGCUCCGGUGACCUCGUCGCCCGACGUUGCUCUGCCGCAUGCUUGUCGCUCGUACCUAAGAGGGUUUGCUCCUGUGUGCCUAUUGGCCCUAUUGAGAACCAGAUCGUUUGUUUAACCAGUGUUUAUACCUCGGCCGAAUAAACAGCAAUAAGUUUGACCUGUUCGUCCCGUCAUAUGGUGUCAUUGGUACCAAUUCCGCACUUGUAGCUUCGAUAGGAUUUCCUGUAAUUUUGAAUAGGCUGCUGCUUGUUGUAGCAGGUGGUCUGUAGCUGCGAGGAU
Molecule: long non-coding RNA, 974 nt
Filed under: Setaria viridis
Lineage: Eukaryota; Viridiplantae; Streptophyta; Magnoliopsida; Poales; Poaceae
Description: long non-coding RNA (SVIR_LNC002411)
Source: RNAcentral